GUUUAAUAAAAGGUACUUGGGCCUCGUCUGGAAGAGACCCACCAGAGGCUGCGUCCCCAGCCUGCCACCUUCCAGUGGGCUUGUGCAGUGUGGCCUCCUCCUGCACAGGACCUGCAGGGCUUGUGCAACCAGGAUUCACCUCUGCAGAAACGGGUUUGUUUUCCAGCCCACGCGGGGCUGGCCUCCCUCAUGAAGCAUUGGCCCCACGUGCAAACGCCCCAGCACGGAAAUGCACUGUGACGUCAGAGGAAGGCUGUGUGAGCAAAGUGGCCGAGAACGUCACUGGGACACAGCUAGGAAAUGAGGAAACCCCGACCUGCCCAGCCAACUUCAAAUGCCAUCACUGUUUUGAUGACUCAUCUCCAUCUCGGAGGACACCCUCCCUCUCGGGURUAGACCAGCCAGUUAGUGCUGUCAAAGGCUGUGAGCAGGAAGCAAGUGCUCCUGCAAUCUAAACGGCUUCAGGUGGAGCCCACCCCAGAUCUGGAGGAGUUGGAGAGGGUUAGGAUGCCCCCAACCUCUGUAUGGCUCGGAGCAUCGUUGGCUCCUGUCCUUCCCUCCACCCAGCAGCCCAGGAGCUGACCCACCAGGGGAUCUURGUCCCUAUUUGAAUUACUCUCCAAAGCCCUGGGCCAGGGAGGAUCCACACCCGCUCUCACACCACCCACCUUUCCAUCCCAAGGGCACGGCACUCUGGGUUGGCGCCCUCCUGCACACCACCUGGUGUGCCAGAGCUGCCUGGGGCCUGGACUCUGACUCCCCUCUGGACUGUAACACCUCAAGGGUGGGGUCCACCGAGCAAAGCCAAUGCCAGGCACCCUUCGUAUUUGCCGAAUAGAUCACCACUAAUUGCAUUAUAAACGGAUUCUUCCAGAUAAUUAAUGGCAAUUUUCAAGUGUUUUUCAACUCCUACUUGAUUUUUUUCUACCUACCUGUGAAACACACAUUUGGUGAACAUCUGUGAUGUGCCAGGCCUGGUGUCCUGCUGGGGACACAGGUGUAUUCAAGGGAUCUUUCUUCAGGGAGCUCAGAGCAUCCUGGGAAAGCCAAGAGGUGAACACCUCCCUUCAAAAUGGCGCCCUGAUCCAAUGGCUUCCUCCUGGAUCCCAGCUCCAGCUUCAAGGCCGCCCUUUCCAGGGUCUUCCCCAAACAGCCU
Molecule: long non-coding RNA, 1156 nt
Filed under: Urocitellus parryii (Arctic ground squirrel)
Lineage: Eukaryota; Metazoa; Chordata; Mammalia; Rodentia; Sciuridae
Description: lncRNA (ENSUPAG00010004724.1)
Source: RNAcentral